Molecule: transfer RNA, 72 nt
Filed under: Candidatus Nealsoniibacteriota bacterium
Lineage: Bacteria; Candidatus Nealsoniibacteriota
Also listed under: 1 other name
Description: Candidatus Nealsonbacteria bacterium tRNA-Pro
Rfam family: tRNA
About the family: Transfer RNA (tRNA) molecules are approximately 80 nucleotides in length.
Source: RNAcentral
CGGGGUGUAGUAUAACGGUUAGUAUUUACCCUUGGGGUGGGUAAAACCCGGGUUCAACUCCCGGCACCCCGA